UGGACAGAAUACCAGGUGCACUUCUGCAAU
Molecule: non-coding RNA, 30 nt
Filed under: Mus musculus (house mouse)
Lineage: Eukaryota; Metazoa; Chordata; Mammalia; Rodentia; Muridae
Source: RNAcentral